AAGUCGUAACAAGGUUUCCGUAGGUGAACCUGCGGAAGGAUCAUUAAAAAAAUAUUAUACAACACUUUUAGGAAAAAAAACACUAAAUAUUUCUUUAUCAAUCUAAGUUUAAAAAAAAAACUUUCAACAACGGAUCUCUUGGUUCUC
This 147-nucleotide unclassified non-coding RNA is filed under the name fungal sp. Its description in RNAcentral is "partial internal transcribed spacer region". The stretch from base 1 to 46 matches the Rfam family "Eukaryotic small subunit ribosomal RNA", at positions 1786 to 1831 of the family's 1831-position model. Lineage: Eukaryota; Fungi. The record is from RNAcentral.